GAGGGUAUAGCUCAAGUGGUAGAGUGCAUGUUUAGCAUGCAUGAGGUUCUGGGUUCAAUCAUCUGUACCUCCU
RNAcentral lists this transfer RNA (73 nucleotides) under Camelus bactrianus (Bactrian camel). It matches the Rfam family "tRNA". From Rfam's summary of the family: Transfer RNA (tRNA) molecules are approximately 80 nucleotides in length. RNAcentral also lists the same sequence under 2 other names. The record is from Rfam by way of RNAcentral. Lineage: Eukaryota; Metazoa; Chordata; Mammalia; Artiodactyla; Camelidae.